Molecule: ribosomal RNA, 2887 nt
Filed under: Gorillibacterium massiliense
Lineage: Bacteria; Bacillati; Bacillota; Bacilli; Caryophanales; Paenibacillaceae
Description: bacterial LSU rRNA
Rfam family: Bacterial large subunit ribosomal RNA
Source: RNAcentral
AUAAGCUAAUAAGAGCGCACGGAGGAUGCCUAGGCGCCAGGAGCCGAAGAAGGACGUGGCGAACAACGAAACGGCCUCGGGGAGCGGUAAGCACGCUUUGAUCCGGGGAUGUCCGAAUGGGGGAACCCGGCUGCGGUAAUGCGCAGUCACUCUUACCUGAAUCCAUAGGGUAAGAAGAGGCAGACCGAGGGAACUGAAACAUCUAAGUACCUCGAGGAAGAGAAAACAAAAGUGAUUCCGUCAGUAGCGGCGAGCGAACGCGGAGGAGCCUAAACCAAGGGGCUUGCCCCUUGGGGUUGUGGGACGUCUUAUACGGAGUUACAAAAGAGUUGGGUAGGCGAAGAGGUCUGGAAAGGCCAGCCAUAGCGGGUAACAGCCCCGUAGCCAAAAGUCAGCUCCCUCCAAGACGGAUCCCGAGUACCGCGGGACACGAGAAAUCCCGUGGGAAUCUGGCAGGACCAUCUGCUAAGGCUAAAUACUUCCUGGCGACCGAUAGCGAAGCAGUACCGUGAGGGAAAGGUGAAAAGAACCGCGGGAGCGGAGUGAAAUAGAACCUGAAACCGUGUGCUUACAAGAAGUCAGAGUCCGUUAAGGGAUGAUGGCGUGCCUUUUGUAGAAUGAACCGGCGAGUUACGUUUGCGUGCGAGGUUAAAGUGAGAAGCUGGAGCCGAAGCGAAAGCGAGUCUGAAUAGGGCGACAAGUACGUAGGCGUAGACCCGAAACCGUGUGAUCUACCCCUGUCCAGGGUGAAGGUGCGGUAACACGCACUGGAGGCCCGAACCCACGAACGUUGAAAAGUUCGGGGAUGAGGUGGGGGUAGCGGAGAAAUUCCAAUCGAACUCGGAGAUAGCUGGUUCUCCCCGAAAUAGCUUUAGGGCUAGCCUCGGAAGAAAGAGUCAUGGAGGUAGAGCACUGAUUGGGUGCGGGGCCCGCCAAGGGUUACCAAGUCCAGUCAAACUCCGAAUGCCAUGCACUCGUAUCCGGGAGUCAGACGGUGAGUGCUAAGAUCCAUCGUCAAGAGGGAAACAGCCCAGACCAUCGGUUAAGGUCCCGAAGUGUGUGUUAAGUGGGAAAGGAUGUGGAGUUGCCCAGACAACCAGGAUGUUGGCUUAGAAGCAGCCACCAUUUAAAGAGUGCGUAAUAGCUCACUGGUCGAGUGACUCUGCGCCGAAAAUGUAACGGGGCUAAACACACCACCGAAGCCAUGGCUUCAACUAUGUUGAUGGGUAGGGGAGCGUUGUGUACGCUGAGAAGGUAUACCGUAAGGAGUGCUGGAGAGUACACAAGUGAGAAUGCCGGUAUAAGUAACGAAAAGACGGGUGAGAAUCCCGUCCGCCGAAAACCUAAGGGUUCCUGAGGAAGGCUCGUCCGCUCAGGGUAAGUCGGGACCUAAGGCGAGGCCGAAAGGCGUAGUCGAUGGACAACAGGUUGAAAUUCCUGUACCACCGUAAGCCGUUAUGAGCAAUGGGGUGACGCAGCAGGGUAGUGACGCGGACCGAUGGAAUGGUCCGUCCAAGCAGUGAGGCUUGUGUGUAGGCAAAUCCGCACACUUUAAGGCUGGGCUGUGAUGGGGAGGGAAAAUUGCAGUACCGAAGGUCAUGAUCUCACACUGCCGAGAAAAGCCUCUAGCCAGGCAAUGGUGCCCGUACCGUAAACCGACACAGGUAGGUAGGAAGAGAAUUCUAAGGCGCGCGGAAGAACUCUCGUUAAGGAACUCGGCAAAAUGACCCCGUAACUUCGGGAGAAGGGGUACCCCGGUAGCGUGAAUAGCGCGAGGGGGUCGCAGUGAAAAGGCCCAAGCGACUGUUUAGCAAAAACACAGGUCUGUGCGAAGCCGCAAGGCGAAGUAUACGGGCUGACGCCUGCCCGGUGCUGGAAGGUUAAGGGGAGUGGUUAGGGGCAACCCGAAGCUAUGAACCGAAGCCCCAGUAAACGGCGGCCGUAACUAUAACGGUCCUAAGGUAGCGAAAUUCCUUGUCAGGUAAAUUCUGACCCGCACGAAUGGCGUAACGACUUGGGCGCUGUCUCAACGAGAGAUCCGGUGAAAUUUUAAUACCUGUGAAGAUGCAGGUUACCCGCGACAAGACGGAAAGACCCCAUGGAGCUUUACUGCAGCUUGAUAUUGAACUUGGGUACGGUCUGUACAGGAUAGGUGGGAGCCUUUGAAGCAUGAGCGCCAGCUUGUGUGGAGGCGACGUUGGGAUACCACCCUGAUCGUAUCUAGGUUCUAACCUACUCCCGUGAAUCCGGGAGAGGGACCGUGUCAGGCGGGCAGUUUGACUGGGGCGGUCGCCUCCUAAAGAGUAACGGAGGCGCCCCAAGGUUCCCUCAGAAUGGUUGGAAAUCAUUCGAAGAGUGCAAAGGCAUAAGGGAGCUUGACUGCGAGACAUACAAGUCGAGCAGGGACGAAAGUCGGGCUUAGUGAUCCGGUGGUACCGCAUGGAAGGGCCAUCGCUCAACGGAUAAAAGCUACCCUGGGGAUAACAGGCUUAUCUCCCCCAAGAGUCCACAUCGACGGGGAGGUUUGGCACCUCGAUGUCGGCUCAUCGCAUCCUGGGGCUGAAGUAGGUCCCAAGGGUUGGGCUGUUCGCCCAUUAAAGCGGUACGCGAGCUGGGUUCAGAACGUCGUGAGACAGUUCGGUCCCUAUCUGUCGCGGGCGCAGGAAAUUUGAGAGGAGCUGUCCUUAGUACGAGAGGACCGGGAUGGACGUACCGCUGGUGUACCAGUUGUUCCGCCAGGAGCACCGCUGGGUAGCCAAGUACGGACGGGAUAAGCGCUGAAAGCAUCUAAGCGUGAAGCCCCCCUCAAGAUGAGAUUUCCCAACUAGUAAGACCCCUGGUAGACGACCAGGUUGAUAGGUCCGGCGUGGAAGUGCAGCAAUGCAUG